RNAcentral lists this ribosomal RNA (358 nucleotides) under uncultured bacterium. RNAcentral's name for it is "bacterial SSU rRNA". It matches the Rfam family "Bacterial small subunit ribosomal RNA", at positions 29 to 371 of the family's 1533-position model. The record is from RNAcentral.
AACGAACGCUGGCGGCGUGGAUAAGACAUGCAAGUCGAGCGGGAUCGUUCUUGUAGCAAUACAGGGGCGGUUCAGCGGCGCAAGGGUGCGUAACACGUGGGAAAUCUGCCGAGAAGUGGGGGAUAGCUCGCCGAAAGGCGAAUUAAUACCGCAUGUGAUCAGCUAAGACAUCUUAGCGACAUCAAAGCCGGGGCAACCUGGCGCUUCUUGAUGANCCCGCGGCCUAUCAGCUAGUUGGUUGAGGUAAUGGCUCACCAAGGCUUUGACGGGUAGCUGGUCUCAGAGGACGACCAGCCACACUGGAACUGAGACACGGUCCAGACACCUACGGGUGCAGCAGUCGAGUAAUUUUUCUCAA